UACGGGGGGGGCAAGCGUUGUUCGGAAUUCCUGGGCGUAAAGGGCUUGUAGGUGGCCAACUAAGUCCGACGUGAAAUCCCUAGGCUUAACCUAGGAACUGCGUCGGAUACUGGAUGGCUUGAAUCCGGGAGAGGGAUGCGGAAUUCCAGGUGUAGCGGUGAAAUGCGUAGAUAUCUGGAGGAACACCGGUGGCGAAGGCGGCAUCCUGGACCGACACUGACACUGAGGAGCGAAAGCCAGGGGAGCAAACGGG
Molecule: ribosomal RNA, 253 nt
Filed under: uncultured bacterium
Lineage: Bacteria
Description: partial 16S ribosomal RNA
Rfam family: Bacterial small subunit ribosomal RNA
Source: RNAcentral